This 945-nucleotide ribosomal RNA is filed under the name Triticum aestivum (bread wheat). RNAcentral describes it as "partial small subunit ribosomal RNA". Lineage: Eukaryota; Viridiplantae; Streptophyta; Magnoliopsida; Poales; Poaceae. The record is from RNAcentral.
AUGCAUCACUGGACCGAUCGAUCAGACUGCCGGCAAGAGCAGGUUUUCCUACUCAUCGAUGCCGAUGUAUAUCUCGAUCCGCAUGCAUGCGGCUCCUCCUCUCUUCUCACUUUCCCGCGGAUGCUUAUCCAGAACCAGCGCGUCAUGAUCGUCCUGGCCCUGCUCCUUGCCUACUUGCUGCCAUUUGGCGAUGCCGAUCCACUGGGACACCUCUGCGGCGGCGUCACCGGCGGCGACUACACGGCCCAAAGCACCUACGGGGCCAACCUUGAGCUGCUACCCGCCGCGCUCCGCAAGAACGCCUCGUCCGGCCUCUUCACCAAGGGCUCCGUCGGCGCUGCCCCGCACACCGUCUACGGCCUCGGGCUCUGCCGCGGCGACGCGUCCGCCUGCGGCGACUGCAUCGGCGCCGCGUUCGGCGACGUGCAGCAGCUGUGCCCGUUGAACAGGGACGCUCGUGCCCUGCACGAGAAAUGCGUCCUCAGCUACUCCAGCCAUGACUUCGCCUCAUACGGCAGUAAUGCCACCGAAAGUUUACUAGUGGUCGUCUGGCCCGACGACGUCAAAGUCAAGCCCAUGCAUCCUGGCAACGGCGAGAGCGUCGUCAGUGAGAUGAUCGACGAGAUCGCCAUGAUGGCGGCGUACAGCUUGACGACGGCGAGGUACGCCACCGGCCGCGUCGAUGUCAACAGCACCGGCGCCCCACCGGCGUCGAUCUACUCUUUGGCGCAGUGCAACCAAGACCUGCCGCCUGAUGACUGCCGGGACUGCCUCGACGGCAUCAAGAAGAUGUUCGUUGGGACAUACUCUAGCUCUAGCUCCGUCGUCAGCCGGCAAGGUGCAUGGGUUGUCGGUGUGUGGUGCAAUUUCAGGUACGGUACUCACCAGUUCUACCAACGCCAGCCCAUGUAUAUGAAAAGCAUUGGAUCGUCGGGUGUUGGAUGA